RNAcentral lists this transfer RNA (73 nucleotides) under bacterium. Its description in RNAcentral is "tRNA-Pro". The record is from RNAcentral. RNAcentral also lists the same sequence under 2 other names.
GGGGGAUUGGGGUAGCCUGGCAUCCUUCGUCCUUGGGGUGGACGUGACCUGAGUUCGAAUCUCAGAUCCCCCA